CCACCCCCCCCCCUCCGAUGAUCUCUGCUCCGGCAACGGCCACCAGCCUUCUGGUUCUUUGACACACCAACCCACACAACCCCCCUGUGUCCACGAUGAUCGCCGGCCACUACAGUUGGUGGCGGCGCGUGAAAUAGCGAGCGGCGACAAGAGAGAGAGAGAGAGAGAGAGAGAGAGAGAGAUAGACUGGGAGUAGAGAUAGACUGAGGAGGUAGGUAACGACGUCAUAUGGCGGCGGCGGUGGUGAACGACGGUUCCGGCGGCAGUGGAUGACGUUGAAAACGAAAGGUCCGGUCCAAGAGAUGGUCGGGUGGUUCAGUUGCGGGUCAGUCUUGGUUGCACAAGUUCGGGUCAACAAGAGGUUCAUAUAGUUCGGUUUCGGGUCUCGGUUAGUUCAGCCGCGGUCAAACACAACUCAGAUUUCAGUUCAGGCUCUCGGGUCUCUUGGUUCGUGGUUCGCGUCAGAUUCGGCUCGGCACGGGUCAACUCGGUCAAACCGAGUCAACUCAGCUGACUCGGUCAACUCAGUCAGCCAACUCGACAUAUCGAUACGAAAGAUUUGGUAAAGAUAACGACACGUUCAUAGUUUAUUAUAUAUAAUUAAUGGUUGUUUACUUACGCGAAAUCGAGCUCCCGAACCGAUCAAACACAUGAAUUAUUAGUUAAAAGUACUUGGAUUAUUAUUUAGCUUGUUUAUAUAAAUUGAUUAUAUACAUAUACGUUGUUGAAUCUUGAUUGAG
This 740-nucleotide long non-coding RNA is filed under the name Helianthus annuus (common sunflower). Lineage: Eukaryota; Viridiplantae; Streptophyta; Magnoliopsida; Asterales; Asteraceae. The record is from RNAcentral.